RNAcentral lists this ribosomal RNA (163 nucleotides) under uncultured bacterium. Its description in RNAcentral is "partial 16S rRNA". It matches the Rfam family "Bacterial small subunit ribosomal RNA", at positions 455 to 617 of the family's 1533-position model. The record is from RNAcentral.
AAUACCCGGUCCGCCUGACGGUACCACCAGAGGAAGCUCCGGCUAACUCCGUGCCAGCAGCCGCGGUAAUACGGAGGGAGCUAGCGUUGUUCGGAAUUACUGGGCGUAAAGGGCGCGUAGGCGGUCGGGUAAGUCGGGUGUGAAAUUCCGGGGCUCAACCCCG